AAAAUAUAUACACAAAAGCAUUCAUGAGUACUUUACAAUUUGCGAAGAACGGGGAGUUGAAAGAUUCUGCUUAUAUGUUCAUACAUACAUAUACUAUUCGAAAUAAAUUUUUAUAGAUCGACGCGUUCAUACAUUUGUACAUAUACAUGCAAAUACUUUAUGGCUUCGGAUAUACCUCUUUAUUCCUGUUGAAUGCCUUUGCACAAAAUCAUGUUAUCCUUUUUAUUAUUAUUAUUAAGUGAUAUUUUAAGUGGCAGCCGUGUAUAAUGCAUGUACAUAUAUAGUAUAUGUGUUUAUGUAUGAUGUGUAGAAAAGUGGCGCGACCAUCAACGCGUACAACACAAUAAUCAAAAUAUAUUUUUUAUUUUGUA
Molecule: long non-coding RNA, 371 nt
Organism: Drosophila montana
Lineage: Eukaryota; Metazoa; Arthropoda; Insecta; Diptera; Drosophilidae
Exons: 2
Source: RefSeq, a predicted model, not a curated record